UCCGGUUUUGUACCGGCAGUCUCUGUAGAUAUUCAACUACAAACAAGGGUUGCGCUCGUUGCGGGACUUAACCCAACAUCUCACGACACGAGCUGACGACAGCCAUGCAACAUCUGUUCUUCUGUCCUUGCGGAGGGUCUGCUUUCACAGACUUGCAAAAGAAUGUCAAGCCCAGGUAAGGUUCUUCGCGUUGCAUCGAAUUAAACCACACGCUCCGCUGCUUGUGCGGGUCCCCGUCAAUUCCUUUGAGUUUUAGUCUUGCGACCGUACUCCCCAGGCGGGCUACUUAAUGCGUUAGCUUCGGCACAGGAGGGGUCAACACCCCCCACACCUAGUAGCCAUCGUUUACUGCUAGGACUAA
RNAcentral lists this unclassified non-coding RNA (361 nucleotides) under uncultured Ktedonobacteria bacterium. RNAcentral's name for it is "contains 16S-23S intergenic spacer region". Lineage: Bacteria; Bacillati; Chloroflexota; Ktedonobacteria. The record is from RNAcentral.